AAGUCCCUGAACUCUUGGACUUUAUAAUCUUGGAAAGCGAUGAGGCAGAAACAAAGAUAUAUGAUACUUAAAGGUGCAUUAGAGAGGCAGGGAACAAGGAGACCUACGAGAUCUGAGGAGAGAUCAUUACCAUCAGAGAGGAACAAGGAUGACCAUGUAAGGUAGGGAGAUUCUUAAAGGCUGGGCAAGCCUUCACUGGCUGAAUAGGGAAAGUUGAGACCUACAGAGGGAAUGUGCAAAGACAAGAAAUUCUGAAAACAAAUGGCCCAUCUGGGCAUAAAGAGUAAUCCAGUUUGGCUGGAACAGAUAGCACAAAGAAGAAACUAGUAGGAGACAUAAGGACCUGACUGAUCGGUUAGCAUCAUUAGUUAGCUCAUACUCAUAGAAUUUCAGAGUUGGAAAAAACUGCAAAGGCCAUCUAGUCCAACCUACACCUGGCAAAGAGUCUACUCUGCAAUAUCUGUUGCCACGCUACUGUAGGAGUCCACCCUAGAGGGUAAUAAAUUAGACCUGAGAAAAGGGGUGUGAUGGCCAAAGGACUUGGAGAAGAGAGGAGCGGAUUGGUUUGGUCUUCAAGAUGAAGCUGGGUGAUCUUUUUGAGGGAAUGCUACCAUUAGGAUUAAUGCAUUUGGUGAGAGUUGGAUUAGAUAAUCUCCAAAGUCCCUUCCAACUGUGGAAUUCUAUGAUUUUAUAAAAUUUGCUGAUGAAAUUGUUUUUGGUGCAAAUAAAAGAACCUUAUUUAGUUUAAAAAUGGAUACUACAGCUUUUUCUUGUUUCAUAAUGUUCUAGGAUAUUUCCUGUUGGUAAA
Non-coding RNA from Phascolarctos cinereus (koala), 808 nucleotides. NCBI's taxonomy places the organism in Eukaryota, Metazoa, Chordata, Mammalia, Diprotodontia, Phascolarctidae. The record is from RefSeq and is a predicted model, not a curated record.